GUUUUUUGUUUCUUUU
RNAcentral lists this small RNA (16 nucleotides) under Arabidopsis thaliana (thale cress). RNAcentral's name for it is "ATSL255450". The record is from RNAcentral. Lineage: Eukaryota; Viridiplantae; Streptophyta; Magnoliopsida; Brassicales; Brassicaceae.